This 315-nucleotide unclassified non-coding RNA is filed under the name air metagenome. RNAcentral's name for it is "partial contains small subunit ribosomal RNA, internal transcribed spacer 1, and 5.8S ribosomal RNA". The stretch from base 1 to 46 matches the Rfam family "Eukaryotic small subunit ribosomal RNA", at positions 1786 to 1831 of the family's 1831-position model. The record is from RNAcentral.
AAGUCGUAACAAGGUUUCCGUAGGUGAACCUGCGGAAGGAUCAUUAUUGAAUAAUCUUGACGUGGCUGUAGCUGACCCCUCGGGGUAUGUGCACGCUCGUCAUCUUUAUAUCUCCACCUGUGCACCUCUUGUAGACCUGGACAAACACUUUCUGAGGAAACUCAGUCGGGAGGACUGCUGUAUGUAAAUGCCAGCUUUCCUUGUAUGUUAUCCAAGUCUAUGUUUUAUAUACCCCAAAGAAUGUAACAGAAUGUAUUAUUGGGCCUUGUGCCUAUAAACUAUAUACAACUUUCAGCAACGGAUCUCUUGGCUCUC